UAGGGAAUCUUCGGCAAUGGACGAAAGUCUGACCGAGCAACGCCGCGUGAGUGAAGAAGGUUUUCGGAUCGUAAAACUCUGUUGUUAGAGAAGAAUAAGGAUGAGAGUAGAAUGUUCAUCCCUUGACGGUAUCUAACCAGAAAGCCACGGCUAACUACGUGCCAGCAGCCGCGGUAAUACGUAGGUGGCAAGCGUUGUCCGGAUUUAUUGGGCGUAAAGCGAGCGCAGGCGGUUUCUUAAGUCUGAUGUGAAAGCCCCCGGCUUAACCGGGGAGGGUCAUUGGAAACUGGGAGACUUGAGUGCAGAAGAGGAGAGUGGAAUUCCAUGUGUAGCGGUGAAAUGCGUAGAUAUAUGGAGGAACACCAGUGGCGAAGGCGACUCUCUGGUCUGUAACUGACGCUGAGGCUCGAAAGCGUGGGGAGCAAACAGG
Molecule: ribosomal RNA, 430 nt
Filed under: uncultured bacterium
Lineage: Bacteria
Description: bacterial SSU rRNA
Rfam family: Bacterial small subunit ribosomal RNA
Source: RNAcentral